GACGAACGCUGGCGGCGCGCCUAACACAUGCAAGUCGAACGAGCGAGAGAGAGCUUGCUUUCUCGAGCGAGUGGCGAACGGGUGAGUAACGCGUGAGGAACCUGCCUCAAAGAGGGGGACAACAGUUGGAAACGACUGCUAAUACCGCAUAAGCCCACGGUGCCGCAUGGCACAGAGGGAAAAGGAGCAAUCCGCUUUGAGAUGGCCUCGCGUCCGAUUAGCUAGUUGGUGAGGUAAUGGCCCACCAAGGCAACGAUCGGUAGCCGGACUGAGAGGUUGAACGGCCACAUUGGGACUGAGACACGGCCCAGACUCCUACGGGAGGCAGCAGUGGGGAAUAUUGCACAAUGGGGGAAACCCUGAUGCAGCGACGCCGCGUGGAGGAAGAAGGUCUUCGGGAUUGGUAAACUCCUGUUGUUGAGGAAGAUAAUGACGGUACUCAACAAGGAAGUGACGGCUAACUACGUG
This 468-nucleotide ribosomal RNA is filed under the name uncultured bacterium. RNAcentral's name for it is "bacterial SSU rRNA". It matches the Rfam family "Bacterial small subunit ribosomal RNA", at positions 28 to 507 of the family's 1533-position model. The record is from RNAcentral.